GAGGCCCUACGGGGGGCAGCAGUGGGGAAUAUUGCACAAUGGGGGAAACCCUGAUGCAGCGACGCCGCGUGAGCGAGGAAGUACCUCGGUAUGUAAAGCUCUGUCAGCAGGGAAGAAAAUGACAGUACCUGACCAAGAAGCCCCGGCUAACUACGAGCCAGCAGCCGCGGUAAUACGUAGGGGGCAAGCGUUAUCCGGAUUUACUGGGUGUAAAGGGAGCGUAGACGGCGAUGCAAGUCUGAAGUGAAAGGCGGGGGCCCAAGCCCCGGACUGCUUUG
This 278-nucleotide ribosomal RNA is filed under the name uncultured bacterium. RNAcentral describes it as "partial 16S ribosomal RNA". It matches the Rfam family "Bacterial small subunit ribosomal RNA", at positions 333 to 628 of the family's 1533-position model. The record is from RNAcentral.